GUGUCAGCAGCCGCGGUAAUACGUAGGGGGCUAGCGUUGUCCGGAUUUAUUGGGCGUAAAGAGCGUGUAGGCGGCCAGAUAGGUCCGCCGUGAAAACUCGAGGCUUAACCUCGAGCUGUCGGUGGAAACCAUUUGGCUAGAGUCCGGAAGAGGAGAGCGGAAUUCCCGGUGUAGCGGUGAAAUGCGCAGAUAUCGGGAAGAACACCCGUGGCGAAGGCGGCUCUCUGGGACGGUACUGACGCUGAGACGCGAAAGCGUGGGGAGCAAACAGGAUUAGAUACCCGUGUAGUCC
This 292-nucleotide ribosomal RNA is filed under the name uncultured bacterium. RNAcentral describes it as "partial 16S ribosomal RNA". It matches the Rfam family "Bacterial small subunit ribosomal RNA", at positions 505 to 796 of the family's 1533-position model. The record is from RNAcentral.